Molecule: ribosomal RNA, 253 nt
Filed under: uncultured bacterium
Lineage: Bacteria
Description: partial 16S ribosomal RNA
Rfam family: Bacterial small subunit ribosomal RNA
Source: RNAcentral
UACGUAGGGUGCAAGCGUUGUCCGGAUGUAUUGGGCGUAAAGAGCGUGUAGGCGGCUGGGUAGGGCCGUUGUGAAAACUCGAGGCUCAACCUCGAGACGUCGAUGGAAACCGUAUGGCUAGAGUCCGGAAGAGGAGAGUGGAAUUCCUGGUGUAGCGGUGAAAUGCGCAGAUAUCAGGAGGAACACCGAUGGCGAAGGCAGGUCUCUGGGCAUUAACUGACGCUGAGGAGCGAAAGCAUGGGGAGCGAACAGG